This 24-nucleotide non-coding RNA is filed under the name Mus musculus (house mouse). The record is from RNAcentral. Lineage: Eukaryota; Metazoa; Chordata; Mammalia; Rodentia; Muridae.
UGCCGUGUCUAAGAGGCCAGAAGA